This 241-nucleotide ribosomal RNA is filed under the name uncultured bacterium. RNAcentral's name for it is "partial 16S ribosomal RNA". It matches the Rfam family "Bacterial small subunit ribosomal RNA", at positions 109 to 334 of the family's 1533-position model. The record is from RNAcentral.
AGUAACACGUGACCAACCUACCACCAGGUGGGGGACAACCCGGGGAAACCUGGGCUAAUACCGCAUUACGUCCGGACCUCGCAUGGGGACCGGACCAAAGAUGGCCUCUGCUUGCAAGCUAUCACCUGGUGAGGGGGUCGCGGCGUAUCAGCUUGUUGGUGAGGUAAUGGCUCACCAAGGCUACGACGCGUAGCGGGUCUGAGAGGACGACCCGUCACAUUGGGACUGAGAUACGGCCCAG